This 351-nucleotide unclassified non-coding RNA is filed under the name Hevea brasiliensis (rubber tree). The record is from RNAcentral. Lineage: Eukaryota; Viridiplantae; Streptophyta; Magnoliopsida; Malpighiales; Euphorbiaceae.
UGAGCUCGUCGAGGAGGAUGAAAAUCCACCGCUGAUCUACAAGGACGGCUCAUCCGAUAGCGACUCAAGUGGCGUACUCAAUGACGAUGCCAGUCCUCCUUACCACCCGGUUAUCCCGGAAGCUCAGGCGAUCUUCGACUCGGCGACGACUAAUGCAUUCAUGGAUUCAAAACCAGGGAAGGGAUUUGGAUUCUUUCAUCAACUCCUGAAAGAGGAGGAGCAGGAUGACACAUGUACCGACUGGUUCUCCGACGAGCAGCCUCCGACGUUGUCCUGGUGCUGCCCUGACUCAUGGAACUGGGCUGAUGGGGGUGGUGAUGGUAAUAUUCCGAAAAGGGAGGGGCCUUUUUG